AACAUUCCGCCUUGGGAAGUACGGUCGCAAGAUUAAAACUCAAAGGAAUAGACGGGGACCCGCACAAGUGGUGGAGCAUGUGGUUUAAUUCGAAGAUACGCGAAGAACCUUACCUGGCCUUGACAUUGAUAGAAUCUGCUAGAGAUAGCGGAGUGCCCUUCGGGGAACUUGAAAACAGGUGCUGCACGGCUGUCGUCAGCUCGUGUCGUGAGAUGUUGGGUUAAGUCCCGCAACGAGCGCAACCCUCGUCACUAGUUACUAACGGUUCGGCCGAGGACUCUAGUGAGACUGCCUUCGUAAGGAGGAGGAAGGUGAGGACGACGUCAAGUCAUCAUGGCCCUUACGGCCAGGGCGACACACGUGCUACAAUGGGAUGUACAAUGAGACGCAAUACCGCGAGGUGGAGCAAAUCUAUAAAGCAUCUCUCAGUUCGGAUUGUAGUCUGCAACUCGACUACAUGAAGCUGGAAUCACUAGUAAUCGUAGAUCAGCCAUGCUACGGUGAAUACGUUCCCGGGUCUUGUACUCACCGCCCGUCACACCAUGGGAGUUGAUUUCACCCGAAGCGGGGAAGCUAAACUGGCUACCCUCCACGGUGGAAUCAGCGACUGGGGUGAAGUCGUAACAAGGUAUCC
Molecule: ribosomal RNA, 634 nt
Filed under: uncultured bacterium
Lineage: Bacteria
Description: bacterial SSU rRNA
Rfam family: Bacterial small subunit ribosomal RNA
Source: RNAcentral